AAAACUUUCAACAACGGAUCUCUUGGUUCUCGCAUCGAUGAAGGACGCAGCGAAUUGCGAUAAGUAUUGUGAAUUGCAGAUUUUCGUGAAUCAUCGAAUCUUUGAACGCACAUUGCGUCCUCCGGUAUUCCGGAGGGCAUGCCUGUUUGAGCGUCAU
This 157-nucleotide ribosomal RNA is filed under the name Eremothecium cymbalariae. Its description in RNAcentral is "5.8S ribosomal RNA". It matches the Rfam family "5.8S ribosomal RNA". Rfam says of the family: 5.8S ribosomal RNA (5.8S rRNA) is a component of the large subunit of the eukaryotic ribosome. It is transcribed by RNA polymerase I as part of the 45S precursor that also contains 18S and 28S rRNA. Lineage: Eukaryota; Fungi; Ascomycota; Saccharomycetes; Saccharomycetales; Saccharomycetaceae. The record is from RNAcentral.